This 484-nucleotide ribosomal RNA is filed under the name uncultured bacterium. RNAcentral describes it as "partial 16S ribosomal RNA". It matches the Rfam family "Bacterial small subunit ribosomal RNA", at positions 30 to 507 of the family's 1533-position model. The record is from RNAcentral.
AUUGAACGCUGGCGGCAGGCCUAACACAUGCAAGUCGAGCGGAUGAAGGGAGCUUGCUCCUGGAUUCAGCGGCGGACGGGUGAGUAAUGCCUAGGAACCUGCCUGGUAGUGGGGGAUAACGUCCGGAAAUGGGCGCGAAUACCGCAUACGUCCUGAGGGAGAAAGUGGGGGAUCUUCGGACCUUACGCUAUCAGAUGAGCCUACGUGGGAUUAGCUAGUUGGUGGGGUAAAGGCCUACCAAGGCGACGAUCCGGAACUGGUCUGAGAGGAUGAUCAGUCACACUGGAACUGAGACACGGUCCAGACUCCUACGGGAGGCAGCAGUGGGGAAUAUUGGACGAUGGGCGAAAGCCUGAUCCAGCCAUGCCGCGUGUGUGAAGAAGGUCUUCGGAUUGUAAAGCACUUUCAGUUGGGAGGAAGGGCAGUAAGUUAAUACCUUGCUGUUUUGACGUUACCAACAGAAUAAGCACCGGCUAACUUCGUG